GGGUUGUGAGGUUAAGCGACUAAGCGUACACGGUGGAUGCCCUGGCAGUCAGAGGCGAUGAAGGGCGUGCUAAUCUGCGAUAAGCGCCGGUAAGGUGAUAUGAACCGUUAUAACCGGCGAUACCCGAAUGGGGAAACCCAGUGUGACUCGUCACACUAUCAUUAACUGAAUCCAUAGGUUAAUGAGGCGAACCGGGGGAACUGAAACAUCUAAGUACCCCGAGGAAAAGAAAUCAACCGAGAUUCCCCCAGUAGCGGCGAGCGAACGGGGAGGAGCCCAGAGCCUGAAUCAGCAUGUGUGUUAGUGGAAGCGUCUGGAAAGGCGCGCGAUACAGGGUGACAGCCCCGUACACAAAAGCGCAUGUGCUGUGAGCUCGAUGAGUAGGGCGGGACACGUGGUAUCCUGUCUGAAUAUGGGGGGACCAUCCUCCAAGGCUAAAUACUCCUGACUGACCGAUAGUGAACCAGUACCGUGAGGGAAAGGCGAAAAGAACCCCGGCGAGGGGAGUGAAAAAGAACCUGAAACCGUGUACGUACAAGCAGUGGGAGCCCCACCACCAAAGCAUUCUCUGGUGUUGAAGGCCCUGCAAAGCAGCAUCGCGGUGGCGGAGCGUCGUUUGCGACGCCCAACACACAAAACAAGCGGUGAGUGCUUUGGGGUGGGGUGACUGCGUACCUUUUGUAUAAUGGGUCAGCGACUUAUAUUCUGUAGCAAGGUUAACCGAAUAGGGGAGCCGGAGGGAAACCGAGUCUUAAUUGGGCGUUAAGUUGCAGGGUAUAGACCCGAAACCCGGUGAUCUAGCCAUGGGCAGGUUGAAGGUUGGGUAACACUAACUGGAGGACCGAACCGACUAAUGUUGAAAAAUUAGCGGAUGACCUGUGGCUGGGGGUGAAAGGCCAAUCAAACCGGGAGAUAGCUGGUUCUCCCCGAAAGCUAUUUAGGUAGCGCCUCGUGAAUUCAUCUCCGGGGGUAGAGCACUGUUUCGGCUAGGGGGCCAUCCCGGCUUACCAACCCGAUGCAAACUGCGAAUACCGGAGAAUGUUAUCACGGGAGACACACGGCGGGUGCUAACGUCCGUCGUGAAGAGGGAAACAACCCAGACCGCCAGCUAAGGUCCCAAAGUCAUGGUUAAGUGGGAAACGAUGUGGGAAGGCCCAGACAGCCAGGAUGUUGGCUUAGAAGCAGCCAUCAUUUAAAGAAAGCGUAAUAGCUCACUGGUCGAGUCGGCCUGCGCGGAAGAUGUAACGGGGCUAAACCAUGCACCGAAGCUGCGGCAGCGAACGUAUCACUUAAAGCGAUUCAGCGGGUUACGAUUGACGGAGCGAAGCGACGUCAAAGCGUAUACAAAGUCGAGUCGGUUUAAGGAUACGUUCGUUGGGUAGGGGAGCGUUCUGUAAGCCUGCGAAGGUGGCCUGUGAGGGUUGCUGGAGGUAUCAGAAGUGCGAAUGCUGACAUAAGUAACGAUAAAGCGGGUGAAAAGCCCGCUCGCCGGAAGACCAAGGGUUCCUGUCCAACGUUAAUCGGGGCAGGGUGAGUCGACCCCUAAGGCGAGGCCGAAAGGCGUAGUCGAUGGGAAACGGGUUAAUAUUCCCGUACUUGGUGUUACUGCGAAGGGGGGACGGAGAAGGCUAUGUUGGCCGGGCGACGGUUGUCCCGGUUUAAGCGUGUAGGUGUGUGUUCCAGGUAAAUCCGGUUCACUUUAACACUGAGGCGUGAUGACGAGGCACUACGGUGCUGAAGCAACAAAUGCCCUGCUUCCAGGAAAAGCCUCUAAGCAUCAGGUAACAUCAAAUCGUACCCCAAACCGACACAGGUGGUCAGGUAGAGAAUACCAAGGCGCUUGAGAGAACUCGGGUGAAGGAACUAGGCAAAAUGGUGCCGUAACUUCGGGAGAAGGCACGCUGACACGUAGGUGAAGUGAUUUACUCAUGGAGCUGAAGUCAGUCGAAGAUACCAGCUGGCUGCAACUGUUUAUUAAAAACACAGCACUGUGCAAACACGAAAGUGGACGUAUACGGUGUGACGCCUGCCCGGUGCCGGAAGGUUAAUUGAUGGGGUCAGCGCAAGCGAAGCUCCUGAUCGAAGCCCCGGUAAACGGCGGCCGUAACUAUAACGGUCCUAAGGUAGCGAAAUUCCUUGUCGGGUAAGUUCCGACCUGCACGAAUGGCGUAAUGAUGGCCAGGCUGUCUCCACCCGAGACUCAGUGAAAUUGAACUCGCUGUGAAGAUGCAGUGUACCCGCGGCAAGACGGAAAGACCCCGUGAACCUUUACUAUAGCUUGACACUGAACAUUGAGCCUUGAUGUGUAGGAUAGGUGGGAGGCUUUGAAGUGUGGACGCCAGUCUGCAUGGAGCCGACCUUGAAAUACCACCCUUUAAUGUUUGAUGUUCUAACGUGGACCCGUAAUCCGGGUUGCGGACAGUGUCUGGUGGGUAGUUUGACUGGGGCGGUCUCCUCCUAAAGAGUAACGGAGGAGCACGAAGGUUGGCUAAUCCUGGUCGGACAUCAGGAGGUUAGUGCAAUGGCAUAAGCCAGCUUGACUGCGAGCGUGACGGCGCGAGCAGGUGCGAAAGCAGGUCAUAGUGAUCCGGUGGUUCUGAAUGGAAGGGCCAUCGCUCAACGGAUAAAAGGUACUCCGGGGAUAACAGGCUGAUACCGCCCAAGAGUUCAUAUCGACGGCGGUGUUUGGCACCUCGAUGUCGGCUCAUCACAUCCUGGGGCUGAAGUAGGUCCCAAGGGUAUGGCUGUUCGCCAUUUAAAGUGGUACGCGAGCUGGGUUUAGAACGUCGUGAGACAGUUCGGUCCCUAUCUGCCGUGGGCGCUGGAGAACUGAGGGGGGCUGCUCCUAGUACGAGAGGACCGGAGUGGACGCAUCACUGGUGUUCGGGUUGUCAUGCCAAUGGCACUGCCCGGUAGCUAAAUGCGGAAGAGAUAAGUGCUGAAAGCAUCUAAGCACGAAACUUGCCCCGAGAUGAGUUCUCCCUGAGACUUAGAGUCUCCUGAAGGAACGUUGAAGACGACGACGUUGAUAGGCCGGGUGUGUAAGCGCAGCGAUGCGUUGAGCUAACCGGUACUAAUGAACCGUGAGGCUUAACCUUACAACGCCGAAG
RNAcentral lists this ribosomal RNA (3110 nucleotides) under Salmonella enterica subsp. enterica serovar Infantis. RNAcentral's name for it is "23S ribosomal RNA". It matches the Rfam family "Bacterial large subunit ribosomal RNA". Lineage: Bacteria; Pseudomonadati; Pseudomonadota; Gammaproteobacteria; Enterobacterales; Enterobacteriaceae. The record is from RNAcentral.